This 253-nucleotide ribosomal RNA is filed under the name uncultured bacterium. RNAcentral's name for it is "partial 16S ribosomal RNA". It matches the Rfam family "Bacterial small subunit ribosomal RNA", at positions 524 to 776 of the family's 1533-position model. The record is from RNAcentral.
UACGUAGGGGGCGAGCGUUGUCCGGAAUUAUUGGGCGUAAAGAGCGUGUAGGCGGUUCGGUAAGUCUGCCGUGAAACCCUGGGGCUCAACCCCGGGCGUGCGGUGGAUACUGCCGGGCUAGAGGGUGGUAGAGGCGAGUGGAAUUCCCGGUGUAGCGGUGAAAUGCGCAGAUAUCAGGAGGAACACCGGUGGCGAAGGCGGAUCUCUGGGCCAUUACUGACGCUGAGGAGCGAAAGCGUGGGGAGCGAACAGG